RNAcentral lists this ribosomal RNA (291 nucleotides) under uncultured Bacillus sp. RNAcentral's name for it is "partial 16S ribosomal RNA". It matches the Rfam family "Bacterial small subunit ribosomal RNA", at positions 1090 to 1382 of the family's 1533-position model. The record is from RNAcentral. Lineage: Bacteria; Bacillati; Bacillota; Bacilli; Caryophanales; Bacillaceae.
CAACGAGCGCAACCCCUACGUUUAGUUGCUAACGCGUGAAGGCGAGCACUCUAGCGAACUGCCGUUGACAAAACGGAGGAAGGUGGGAUGACGUCAAAUCAUCAUGCCCCUUAUGUUCUGGGCUACACACGUGCUACAAUGGCCGGUACAGACGGACGCAAAGCCGCGAGGUGGAGCAAAUCCUAAAAAGCCGGUCUCAGUUCGGAUUGCAGGCUGCAAUUCGCCUGCAUGAGGUCGGAAUCGCUAGUAAUCGCAGGUCAGCAUACUGCGGUGAAUACGUUCCCGGGUCUU